Molecule: long non-coding RNA, 996 nt
Organism: Ornithodoros turicata
Lineage: Eukaryota; Metazoa; Arthropoda; Arachnida; Ixodida; Argasidae
Exons: 4
Source: RefSeq, a predicted model, not a curated record
GGCAGGGGGCGUUGCUGCUGGAAGGAUUUAAGCGAACAGCACAGGGCUGAUGGGAUUCUUUUUCUCCGGUUUCCCGUUGGGCUGGCCGAGUCUUCUCCUGCAAUGGGACAACGGAACGGCUGGCAGCACGGCUCCUAUAUAAUAGGCGAGGAUGGCAACCUGUUCAGGUACAUACCCCCAGGCAGAGGAGGACGGCAGAGUGUGAACGACCAGUCGACACCUUUUGCCGGUUCGGAUUUCCCGCUCAACGAAGCAACAUGAAACCUACACGCUAAUAUUACCGAGCCCCUUCAAGGAAAGUGCGCCCUCUUCCGGCCGCACUUAACAGGCUUCGCUCCUGUGACACUGGCGAGGGAACAGGGCCAGUACGAAAUUGAAGGCUUGCCACCUUCAAGACACUAACGAAGGGGUGAACGACUUUCAGCCUGCCCAUCGGGACCAGUAUAUUCUUUCCGGUCGCUAUGUCAUGGUACAGCACCCAAAAAAUCAAGCGAUAGGAGACCGAAGCCCUUGCGGAAGGUAGAGUCGGCCAGGUCCCCCCCUCCCCCUUUUCGGGGAUUAACAGUGCGGGACCGAGGAACAGAGGCGCCUGCUGUACCCCUGUGAAAUCCACCGCACGGUUCACUGCGGUAGACCCCCUUUCCUGGACAAAGGUGGAGACGUUCCGAGAAGCCGGGACUACGGGAACAGAUGUGGCAGUGGCUAUCCUACAGCGGCACCUCCGGAACCUCUUCAGAGGGUACGAGACCCCUUCGAUGUCCUCGGACUGCCUAGUCAUGCUCUAUAUUAGUCUCGAGCGUUAUAAACUUACGAGCAGAGAAGUAUUGGUACUCAAGAACCCGGGCUUGAUAACUGCGCACGGUUUUGGUAUUUGGAGGCAUCUGUUGAAACGUAUGUUCCCGCCUGUUUUAUUUUUUCCUGUUUGGUUGGCCGAAAUAAAGACUGCAGAGCUACGUUUGGUUAGUAAGUUCAAUAAAGUUUUUGUGUUGCAUUUGC